UACAGAGGGUGCGAGCGUUGUCCGGAAUCACUGGGCGUAAAGGGCGCGUAGGCGGCUUGAUAAGCGUGCGGUGAAAGCCCGGGGCUCAACCCCGGGUCGGCCGUGCGAACUGUCGAGCUGGAGCACUGUAGAGGCAGGUGGAAUUCCGGGUGUAGCGGUGGAAUGCGUAGAGAUCCGGAAGAACACCAGUGGCGAAGGCGGCCCGCUGGGCAGUGGCUGACGCUGAGGCGCGACAGCGUGGGGAGCAAACAGG
Molecule: ribosomal RNA, 253 nt
Filed under: uncultured bacterium
Lineage: Bacteria
Description: partial 16S ribosomal RNA
Rfam family: Bacterial small subunit ribosomal RNA
Source: RNAcentral